AACUUUUAUUUAUUUUUAAAGAUUUUAUUUAUUUAUUCAUGAGAGAGAGAGAGAGAGACAGGGAGGGAGAGAGAGAGACAGAGAGGCACAGACACAGGCAGAGGGAGAAGCAGGCUCCGUGCAGGGAGCCUGACGUGGGACUCGAUCCUGAGUCUCCAGGAUCACGCCCUGGGCUGAAGGUGGCGCUAAAACGCUAAGCCACCCAGGCUGCCUGGGUACGGACUUUUACAGCAGCCUCCCCGCACUCAAAGGUGGCAGGUGGCAGGGCAAGCAGCUCAUUGCUGUCCAUCUCCUGCCUCUCCCCAUCAUGUCCCUCAGAACACAGUCUUUGGGUUUGUCAAGGGCCUGUUCUUGCCAGGCCCUAAGGUGGGUGGGCACUGCAGGGAUCAUGUCAGAGGACUAGGGAAGCAGACCCUUUCUGCAGGUCAACCACCCUCUGCUUGCACACCUCCAGGGACUAGGAGCUCACUACAACCCACACAGGCUAGGCCCACUUUACUCCCCUGCAGCCUUUCCCCUACCACCCUAAAUCCUAUCUCAAAUUCUGUCCAAGGGUGCAGCUCUUGGGCGACAGAUUCCAUCCUCUCGCCCCUUCCAUCUGUGGGCAUUCAAAAAGCCUUUUCACCUGCUCAGGCAUAGACCACACUCAGGCCUUUCCGACAGGCAGGUGAGGUGGUAUUUAUAACCAAGGAAUAAUUGGAUGUUAAUUCCUUUCUGCAGAAGAGUGACUGGAGUUUCAAUUUCUUCCUCUGCGAACUCUCAAGUGGGGCUAGCUGCAGCUGAGAGGCUAUGACUGACAUGCACGCACGGCCCAGGCUCACCCGCCCCCUCAGCCCCCACAGUGAUUCUUGUAAGGGCCUCAGAAGCCAUCAGCCCCCAACUCCCUUCCUCCCCAAUUCUACCACCAACCAGUGGCCAUCCUCACUUCAGGCGAGCAAGCCUCUUCCUGCCAGGUGUGGGAUUCCACAUUAUAAUCUAGCCUUGUCCAGGGGUGCCUGGCUGGCUCAGUAGGUAGUGUGUGACUCUUGAUCUCAGUGUUAUAUUCGAGCCCCACACUGGGUGUAGAGAUCACUUAAAAAAAAAAAAAAAAGUCUUAAGAAAAAAGAAUCUAGCCUAGUCCUGUCAGUCUGGUCACUGGUCCUUAAGGCAGGAAGGAGCCGCUGAUACAUCACCCCAAAAACUUCAGAAGCACUACUUCCACACACGAAUGGCUGACAAGGCCCAGCUCUCAGACACACCAGUGAGCCCUGAGCACCACCCACCACCACCCCUCGCCCACCUCCAGCCUCCCUCCUCAACCCCUCCUCUCAGAUAAGCCACCUACUCAGACCUCCACCCUGCUGCUGACCUCAAGAGAGACUUUGGUCCACUGAUAGGCAAUAACCCGGCUGAGUCUCUUGGCAAAGAUCCAUUUCCUAGGGGGAGAAAGAGUGUGAGCCCACGCCUGAUGAGCACCUGGGCUCCACACCCACUCCCACCACAGGUGAACUGUA
Molecule: long non-coding RNA, 1493 nt
Filed under: Canis lupus familiaris (dog)
Lineage: Eukaryota; Metazoa; Chordata; Mammalia; Carnivora; Canidae
Description: lncRNA (ENSCAFG00845003762.1)
Source: RNAcentral